This 619-nucleotide ribosomal RNA is filed under the name Pseudomonas sp. SS263-8. It matches the Rfam family "Bacterial small subunit ribosomal RNA", at positions 53 to 667 of the family's 1533-position model. Lineage: Bacteria; Pseudomonadati; Pseudomonadota; Gammaproteobacteria; Pseudomonadales; Pseudomonadaceae. The record is from RNAcentral.
ACAUGCAAGUCGAGCGGUAGAGAGAAGCUUGCUUCUCUUGAGAGCGGCGGACGGGUGAGUAAUGCCUAGGAAUCUGCCUGGUAGUGGGGGAUAACGUUCGGAAACGGACGCUAAUACCGCAUACGUCCUACGGGAGAAAGCAGGGGACCUUCGGGCCUUGCGCUAUCAGAUGAGCCUAGGUCGGAUUAGCUAGUUGGUGAGGUAAUGGCUCACCAAGGCGACGAUCCGUAACUGGUCUGAGAGGAUGAUCAGUCACACUGGAACUGAGACACGGUCCAGACUCCUACGGGAGGCAGCAGUGGGGAAUAUUGGACAAUGGGCGAAAGCCUGAUCCAGCCAUGCCGCGUGUGUGAAGAAGGUCUUCGGAUUGUAAAGCACUUUAAGUUGGGAGGAAGGGUUGUAGAUUAAUACUCUGCAAUUUUGACGUUACCGACAGAAUAAGCACCGGCUAACUCUGUGCCAGCAGCCGCGGUAAUACAGAGGGUGCAAGCGUUAAUCGGAAUUACUGGGCGUAAAGCGCGCGUAGGUGGUUUGUUAAGUUGGAUGUGAAAUCCCCGGGCUCAACCUGGGAACUGCAUUCAAAACUGACUGACUAGAGUAUGGUAGAGGGUGGUGGAAU